RNAcentral lists this unclassified non-coding RNA (337 nucleotides) under soil metagenome. Its description in RNAcentral is "partial contains 5.8S ribosomal RNA, internal transcribed spacer 2, and large subunit ribosomal RNA". The stretch from base 1 to 120 matches the Rfam family "5.8S ribosomal RNA", at positions 35 to 154 of the family's 154-position model. The record is from RNAcentral.
GAUGAAGAACGUAGCGAAAUGCGAUAAGUAGUGUGAAUUGCAGAAUUCAGUGAAUCAUCGAAUCUUUGAACGCACAUUGCGCCCCAUGGUAUUCCGUGGGGCAUGCCUGUUCGAGCGUCAUUUACCCCCUCAAGCUCCGCUUGGUGUUGGGCGUCUGUCCCGCUUCGCGCGCGGACUAGCCCCAAAGGUAUUGGCAGCGGUCGUGCCAGCUUCUCGCGCAGCACAUUGCGCUUCUCGAGGCACCGGUGGGCCCGCGUCCAUCAAGCUCACCCCCCCAGUUUGACCUCGGAUCAGGUAGGGAUACCCGCUGAACUUAAGCAUAUCAAUAAGCGGAGGA